RNAcentral lists this ribosomal RNA (408 nucleotides) under bacterium enrichment culture clone ALO1_GLFRUDD03FVSMQ. RNAcentral's name for it is "bacterial SSU rRNA". It matches the Rfam family "Bacterial small subunit ribosomal RNA", at positions 9 to 417 of the family's 1533-position model. The record is from RNAcentral.
GAGUUUGAUCUUGGCUCAGAUUGAACGCUGGCGGCAUGCCUUACACAUGCAAGUCGAACGGCAGCACGGGAGCUUGCUCCUGGUGGCGAGUGGCGAGCGGGUGAGUAAUGCAUCGGAACGUAUCCUGGAGUGGGGGAUAACGUAGCGAAAGUUACGCUAAUACCGCAUAUUCUGUGAGCAGGAAAGCGGGGGACCUUCGGGCCUCGCGCUCUUGGAGCGGCCGAUGUCGGAUUAGCUAGUUGGUGAGGUAAAGGCUCACCAAGGCGACGAUCCGUAGCAGGUCUGAGAGGAUGAUCUGCCACACUGGAACUGAGACACGGUCCAGACUCCUACGGGAGGCAGCAGUGGGGAAUUUUGGACAAUGGGGGCAACCCUGAUCCAGCCAUGCCGCGUGAGUGAAGAAGGCCU